GUGCUCAAAGUAUGUCGGAAGAUAUAUCCGGACUGGAUUUCUAAUCCGGAUGUCGCAGGUUCGAGUCCUGCCGGGCGCGCCA
RNAcentral lists this transfer RNA (82 nucleotides) under Sneathiellales bacterium. Its description in RNAcentral is "tRNA-Arg". The record is from RNAcentral. Lineage: Bacteria; Pseudomonadati; Pseudomonadota; Alphaproteobacteria; Sneathiellales.